UAAGGAAUAUUGCGCAAUGGGCGAAAGCCUGACGCAGCGACGCCGCGUGGGGGAUGAAGGUCUUCGGAUUGUAAACCCCUUUCGGGAGGGAAGAUGGAAUGGGGUAACCCAUUCGGACGGUACCUCCAGAAGCAGCCACGGCUAACUUCGUGCCAGCAGCCGCGGUAAUACGAAGGUGGCAAGCGUUAUUCGGAUUUACUGGGCGUACAGGGAGCGUAGGCGGUUCGGUAAGCCCUUUGUGAAAUCUCCAGGCUUAACCUGGAACAGUCGGAGGGGACUGCCGGGCUAGAGGACGGGAGAGGAGCGCGGAAUUCCCGGUGUAGCGGUGAAAUGCGUAGAGAUCGGGAGGAAGGCCGGUGGCGAAGGCGGCGCUCUGGAACGUUUCUGACGCUGAGGCUCGAAAGCGUGGGGAGCAAACAGGAUUAGAUACGCUGGUAGUCCCUGAGCGGGCUGGCAAGGCGCAU
Molecule: ribosomal RNA, 464 nt
Filed under: uncultured bacterium
Lineage: Bacteria
Description: bacterial SSU rRNA
Rfam family: Bacterial small subunit ribosomal RNA
Source: RNAcentral